Long non-coding RNA from Chelonia mydas (Green sea turtle), 528 nucleotides. RefSeq lists it as uncharacterized. The transcript is spliced from 3 exons. The record is from RefSeq and is a predicted model, not a curated record. Lineage: Eukaryota; Metazoa; Chordata; Testudines; Cheloniidae.
GGACUCUUUUUGGACUCUCCCUCUGGAUACAACUUGCAGUCCCCGCGGGCAGACGGAAGAUUUGCCGCUGUGCCACUCGAGAGCCACACUCAGCUCUGGCUGAGCAGAGCUGUACCUGACCAGUGUGCGGGCGGGAGACCACCGCGAAGGGCAGCUCAGCAGAUGCAGACAGCCACCCUGGAGGAGCAGGAGCGGGCAGCGUGGCCCCUUGCUUGAUAGCUGGCAAAGGCACCUCCGACCCCAUUCAGUCCUCCACAACUGAAGGAGGCGUGGGUGGCAGAUAAGGAGGCCGCCAGGUUUGAACCCAGGUCCUUCGAGGCAAACAGCAUAAGCCUGACCUACCUGAGCUAAAAGGAGUCCCUCUGUGAGCUUGCAGCAGUAUUAGGCUGUUAGCCAGUUACAGGAGGAGGGACACUGAGCACACACUCAGGAUUGGAUGUUCUUCUAAAAGACGUGCUCUAGUUCAAACAGGAAAGAUUUCGGGGAAGUCCUCUGGCCUGUGUCAUACAGGAGAUCAGACUAGUUGAU